GCAGAGCACUCCGUACGGGAGGCAGCAGUGGGGAAUAUUGCACAAUGGGCGCAAGCCUGAUGCAGCCAUGCCGCGUGUAUGAAGAAGGCCUUCGGGUUGUAAAGUACUUCAGCAGUGAGGAAGGUGGAUAUGUUAAUAGCAUAUUCAUUUGACGUUAGCUGCAGAAGAAGCACCGGCUAACUCCGUGCCAGCAGCCGCGGUAAUACGGAGGGUGCGAGCGUUAAUCGGAAUUACUGGGCGUAAAGCGCAUGCAGGUGGUUUGUUAAGUCAGAUGUGAAAGCCCGGGGCUCAACCUCGGAAUUGCAUUUGAAACUGGCAAACUAGAGUACUGUAGAGGGGGUAGAAUUUCAGGUGUAGCGGUGAAAUGCGUAGAGAUCUGAAGGAAUACCGGUGGCGAAGGCGGCCCCCUGGACAGAUACUGACACUCAGAUGCGAAAGCGUGGGGAGCAAACAGGAUUAGAUACCCUGGUAG
RNAcentral lists this ribosomal RNA (472 nucleotides) under uncultured bacterium. RNAcentral's name for it is "bacterial SSU rRNA". It matches the Rfam family "Bacterial small subunit ribosomal RNA", at positions 328 to 793 of the family's 1533-position model. The record is from RNAcentral.